AGAAAGAGAAGAACGAGAGAGACGGAAGAAAGAUGGAGGGGAAAAGAGAAAGGAGAGAGAGACAUCAAAGGAGAGGAAAUGAAAGCUAAAUGUACCAUCAGCAUAAUUUCAUACUUCAGUAGAAAUGAGGCCAAUGCGGAGGUGAAGGUUUACAGCUGACCAUCUGACCUGAGGUCACAACCACUUCUGUCCAGCUGAAUGACCCAACUCACCUGGUCAGCCCAUCCCCUGCACACACACCUGUCCCACCUGGUACACCUGUCUACCAACCCAACACACACCUGUCCCACCUGGUACACCUGUCUACCAACCCAACACACACCUGUCCCACCUGGUACACCUGUCUACCAACCCAACACACACCUGUCCCACCUGGUACACCUGUCUACCAACCCAACACACACCUGUCUGGCCCUUGGAGCAGACUCUGAUCUGCACACCAUCCGCUAGUGGGGGUGUGUGUAUUGAUGGAUCAGGAUGUCAACCAAUAACAACAUCGCCCAGGCCAGGAAACUGGUGGAACAACUGAGGAUCGAGGCAGGGAUCGAACGUAUUAAGGUGUCCAAGGCAGCGGCAGACCUGAUGAGUUACUGUGAGCAGCACGCCCGUAACGACCCGCUCCUCGUUGGCGUCCCAACGUCAGAAAACCCUUUCAAAGACAAGAAACCCUGCAUCAUCCUAUAGCUGCACACUCGUCUCUGCCCAUCAGACACACACACACCUCUGCCCACACACACACCUCUGCCCACACGCACACUCCCACCGGCUGACUCUGCAACAGCCAACAAGGCCCAGCUCUGUCAAGCUAUACAUACCACACACACACACACACACACACACACACACACACACACACACACACACACACACACACACACACACACACACACACACACACACACACACACACACACACACAAGAAACGAAAUAGCCACUCUGGAAAAGCGCCAUACUCAAUAGCCACAGCUAGGGGGCGGUGUCUGUGUUUACAGACCACAUUACCACAUUAGUGAUAUUAGCCCUGAGUUGUGUCUCUGUGGUGCUGAGGGUAAGCCUGCACUAACAUGCAGCCCUACCUGAUACUGGUUACUUACUCACCCACAGAGAUAGUGACACUCAAGUGGAGAUGGCAGAUUUAAUUGAAAAAGGGAUUAGGACAAUUAUCUUAAUAGGAAUCCACAGUCGCCUACAUGAAGUCAUAGGCUGAUGUAUAGCAUGUAUUUUAGUGAAUCUAUGAUUUGUUGAUUCAUUGAUUAAUCGAUUGAUUGAUCGCAUGUAUCUGUGUGCUGUGGAGUGAGGGGUAUAAGGUACAUGAGGGUAAGGAGUGAGGUGGGGGUGUAUGUGUGACCAAUCUGGUGUAAAACCUGGGUCGUCCGUGUGAUACAAGAUGUGUUAGCCCUCUCAGCUAAAGCCUAGCCAUUAGCCGUGGAAGCUAAUACAAGUCUUCAGGUCUCAGGCAUGGUUACCCAUCACUAAACCACUGUGGCUAUACACGGUGUGUUUGUUAGCCAUAUAGUGGCUGACUUGCCACUGACUUGCUAAGUAUCACAAUGGGGAUGGCCCCUUCCUGAAACCUUGGGUCAACGGUAAUGUCAGUGUUUCCACAAGACAUUGUGUUUUUGUGAACAUGGCAUUGAAACACUGAGCAGGUUGGUGGUACAUGCUGCAUAUGUACCCACUGUGUUUAAACCCGGAUCAUCUGCAAUGCCACAAGACUGUGUUAGCCCACUGAGCUAAAGCAUAGGCUACAUACACUCCCACUCUAGCGACGGUUAUCGAUCAACAGUGUUACUGCUUUGGUUUUGAGUUCUUGGUCAGUGGGUUUUCUAUAGGCCAAAACUCCAGCUGUGUCGAUUUGUGGAUUAAGUUGCCCCUAUAUACUGAUCUAAGAUCAGUCUUGUGUUUUCCCUCUAAUGGUAAAGGUUAGGAUUUAGAGAGGGUAUUAUGAUGCUAGAUCUGUGUCUAAAAGGCUGCGUUUACACAGGCAGCCUAAUUCAGAUCUUUGUCCACUAAUUGGUCUUUUGACCAAUCAAAUCAGCUCUUUUUCCAAUAAUAAGGCUAAAGAUCAGAAUUUUGCUGCCUGUGUAAACUCAGCCUAAUGAAACUUCUUUCUUGAGUACUGACGAGUACUGAGAGGCUAACUGUGUUCAAGUUUUUAACCCCAGAAGUAUAUAUAUAUGUUUUUUAAUUAAUUAUCGUUUCAAUAUUUUGUCAAUUUAUUGCCAUACACUUAGCAGAUACUGUAGGUUUCCAUUCACUCCUUAACUUACACUUGAGGCAAAAGUUUACCUUAACCACAGAUCUAGGAUCAGAUUAUCAUCCCCAAUCUUAACUUGAACCAUAAGGGGGGUGUACAAAUAUCUGAUCCUAUAUCAGUGGUUAGAUACAUCACUAGUUCUGCCAAUGAGAGCAAGCAUCACAUCAUGGGCUUUGCUUAUUGGCUCAUCGUGUGUUCUAUUGAGGAACAGGAGCAAAUUACAAAGUGGUGUCCCGUGUCCCCACCUCCACAGUCCUAUUCCUCUACUCCCAAACCAAACUUGAUUGUAAAAAAUGUAAAAGACACUAGAGAAAAUAAAAACAAAAGUGUAUAAACUUUCUUUAAGCCAUGUGCAGAAGUGAUACGUUUUGAGAGUAGCUGUUUUGGGUUUGGUUUGAGUUUCUUUCUAAAUGGAAGCAGGUCAGUCGAGUAUUAUUAUCCAACUGUACAGUGUUUGUAAGAUAAAACCUAGGCCAGAAUUCAAUCAAAGUGCAUUAAACUUUUUCCACCAAAAAAAACAAAAUGCGCUUUAAUUGAAUGUCAGCCUGUUGCAGAAUCUUUUCUGUGGACGUUCAAUUUUUGCGUAAAUAUUUCCCUUCUGAUAGAAUUUAUUCUGUUUCCUCAUUCAGCUUGAGGCAGGUUCACACACACACACACACACACACACACACACACACACACACACACACACACACACACACACACACACACACACACACACACACACACACACACACACACACACACACACACACACACACACACACACACACACACACACACACACACAAUCCCCUAGUGACUAAAUGGGGAGCCAACCACAUCUACAAAGCAGUGAAGUGGCCGUACUCAUAGCAUAGCUUCUUAUACACAGGCUAAGCACUGUGAGAAACAAACUUGAACCAUUAAAACACUGUCUCUCUCUCUCACACACAGAGAGAGAGAGAGAGACAUACAGAGAGAGAGACAGACAGACAGACAGACAGACAGACAGACAGACAGACAGACAGACAGACAGACAGACAGACAGUUUCCUAAUGUCUUUUAAAAGUGAUUAUCUGAGGGAGAAUAUUGUUAUUUCUUAAUUCAUUCAUUCCACGGACGGUUAUUUUGAUUGAUUGGUUGUUUGAUUGAUUGGUUGUUUGAUUGAUUGGUUGUUUGAUUGAUUGGUUGAUUGAGUGAUUGGUUGAUUGAUUGAUUGGUUGUUUGAUUGAUUGGUUGAUUGAUUGAUUGGUUGUUUGAUUGAUUGGUUGUUUGAUUGAUUGGUUGAUUGAUUGAUUGGUUGUUUGAUUGAUUGAUUGAUUGAUUGAUUGGUUGUUUGAUUGAUUGGUUGUUUGAUUGAUUGGUUGAUUGAUGGUUUGCCUUGUUGUGGUGUAUUGUGUUGUAUGCUGGUUAGGACCAGGAGUUUUACCUGGUCAGGUCACAUUGGUCAGGAACAACAUUCUAGCCCUAGACUUGAGAAUAGUUGAGAGUAUUUGAGUGAACAGUCUUAAAAGAAGACACAAAGCUCCACAAUGGAAGUCUUGUGGUGCUCCCAUUCCCACAUCAUUCACUAUAGCUGAUCUAGGUCAGUUUAAAGUGUUCUCCCCCUAAAGAUUAGGUCAGGAUUUGGGGAAUGGAAUCUGAUCCUAGAUCUUACCCAGUGCAGAACGCUAGAACCCUAAAACGAAUUUCUGUCCCUAGACACUGACCUCGGGUCAGUUUUACCUGGACUCAUCAUUGUGUUUUUUUAUCUCCUGUGUAUGCAUAUACAGUAUGUAUCUCUGGUAACGCUUUGUUUUGCGGUCCCCUUUAACUUGGUAUUUGCUUAGAAAUAACACGGUAAAAACAUUUGUUUCAUUGCAAGCGAGGACUAUUUGGUACCAGGUUGAAAGUCCCCAUUGUUACCACAAUGUGUUAAUUCCAGCUGGGACAGGACUGUGACGUAAAGCACUACCGUAUCUUUUUGCCUUGAUUAAUUGUGAAUGAUCAGUUAUAGAUUAUGAAGGAAAUAUAAUAUCUAUUUUUUUGUAUCUGGUCGCUCUGAUGUGCCAUAACUCAUGUUUUCUUGCACACUUGUUCAUAUUUUACAGUUAAAUACUUUACUGUUAAGACUUUACUGUUCAUAUUUUACAGUUAAAUACUUUACUGUUAAGACUUUACUGUUCAUAUUUUACAGUUAAAUACUUUACUGUUAAGACUUUACUGUUCAUAUUUUUGUGGAUAUUGCUGUUAAAAAAAAGAUGAUAUUGAAAAAGUAGACAACAUUAAUAAAAAUAUAAUAACA
RNAcentral lists this long non-coding RNA (4524 nucleotides) under Salmo salar (Atlantic salmon). Its description in RNAcentral is "lncRNA (ENSSSAG00000098336.1)". The record is from RNAcentral. Lineage: Eukaryota; Metazoa; Chordata; Actinopteri; Salmoniformes; Salmonidae.